RNAcentral lists this long non-coding RNA (558 nucleotides) under Mus caroli (Ryukyu mouse). Its description in RNAcentral is "lncRNA (MGP_CAROLIEiJ_G0006519.1)". Lineage: Eukaryota; Metazoa; Chordata; Mammalia; Rodentia; Muridae. The record is from RNAcentral.
CUUAUCUGUUUUCAUGGAACACUUGCUUGAACCCUGCUAAAGACACACAAUCAUACUGAUGGACAACUGUAGUGUUUGAAAUGAGAGGUAUCCUCCAUAGGCUAUGUAUUUGAACACUUGUUUCCCAGUUGGUUAUGUUUAGAGAGGCUAUGAAUCUGUUAGGAGGUGUGACUCUGUUAAAGGAUGCCACACAGGGUGGUCAAUGAGAAUUUAGAGCCUUACCAAACUUCCAGUUCACUCUUCUGCUUCCCACAUGUGAAUGGAGAGUGACAUCUCAGCUUGCUGUUCUGGACACCUGCUGCCAUGCCUCCUGUAACUGGUUGAUCUGAUGCUGUUUGUAAUCCUCAAGAUGACCUUGAACUCGGAGAUUUAAUCUGGAGUCCAUAGCCACUAUGCCUCAAGAUCUCCAUACCAAGAUCCAGAUCAGAAACUUCUAUCUCCCAGCCCCCAGAUAAGGGUCACUGGUACACAGAGUCACAUCCAGCUUUUCUGGGACCCAAACUCAAGACCUCAUAAUGAGCAUCACAGAAGGCCCAUUCAGCCCAAGCUAUACAGUGG